RNAcentral lists this ribosomal RNA (506 nucleotides) under uncultured bacterium. RNAcentral describes it as "partial 16S ribosomal RNA". It matches the Rfam family "Bacterial small subunit ribosomal RNA", at positions 29 to 523 of the family's 1533-position model. The record is from RNAcentral.
AGUGAACGCUGGCGGUAGGCCUAACACAUGCAAGUCGAACGGCAGCACAGGAGAGCUUGCUCUCUGGGUGGCGAGUGGCGGACGGGUGAGGAAUACAUCGGAAUCUACUCUGUCGUGGGGGAGAACGUAGGGAAACUUACGCUAAUACCGCAUACGACCUACGGGUGAAAGCAGGGGACCUUCGGGCCUUGCGCGAUUGACUGAGCCGAUGUCGGAUUAGCUAGUUGGCGGGGUAAAGGCCCACCAAGGCGACGAUCCGUAGCUGGUCUGAGAGGAUGAUCAGCCACACUGGAACUGAGACACGGUCCAGACUCCUACGGGAGGCAGCAGUGGGGAAUAUUGGACAAUGGGCGCAAGCCUGAUCCAGCCAUACCGCGUGGGUGAAGAAGGCCUUCGGGUUGUAAAGCCCUUUUGUUGGGAAAGAAAUCCAGCUGGCUAAUACCCGGUUGGGAUGACGGUACCCAAAGAAUAAGCACCGGCUAACUUCGUGCCAGCCGCCGCAGUAA